UACUUUCUUUUUUUUAUUAGAACGGCAUAGCUUUUAUUACUGAAGAUCAACUAGCAAGACACUAGUGACCCUAAAUGAUAUAGUACAAAUACAAGAAUAAGAGGCAAAACCAAAUCAAAAUACACUAAACCCCAAACCAAGCAAUUUGUUUUGGCAGUGACACAACAACAAGAAGGAGAUGGCCCUUGGUUUUGGUAUAUUGUUACAGAUUUCGUGCAUCAAACCUUGCAUACUAGGCGACAUGGCAGGUAAGACGAAGCCAAUCCACUUACUAAUCAAACUUCUCGUUUCCGUUGCCAAGUAACAGUUUUUGAAGAUAUGUCUCGUUGUUUCAAUACCAUGUUGACAUUGAAGACAUCUCACAAUAGCAGUGUCAAUUCGCCAGGUAAUGCUUACUAAUACUUCCAUUAUCCGUGAUCGUUUUCCGUCUGUGUUUUUAACAUGUUAACGCUUAAUCAUUUACCUUUAUAUUUGAUCAAAUUUAGAGAAUUACAGUUUGCAUACAAGGUGUUCGAUGAAACGCCAUUCAUCGGAACAACCCCGGUAGCAUGUAAUUUUUUAUUAAAACUUUUGUAUUAUCUUGUCAAACUAUUCGUUUAUAGGGUUAAGACAAAUACGGUAGAUCUAUCUAUGUGUAGAUUUAUCACAAAGUUAUCAAAAAAAACUUUUGGAAAAUUGAGUGAUUCACGUGACCUGGUCAGAAUGUUAUAAAAGCAAUGUGCCAUCGUUACAACAGCUUAUAGAUGUUGCAAGAUGAUGAUAUCUACAAUAAUGAUUGUCUGAUACAAAGGAUAUCUAAACAAACUGGUGAAAAAUUGUAUACGAAAGUUUUUUAUUUGAGUGAAUGUAGAUAGCAAGAGUUGGGUUACAAGUUUAAAACUUUGACUCUUCUUGUAUGUGAUAUGCAAGAGUUUCUAACAAAUAGUUUAAAAAGUUGGAUUAUUUGCAAGAGUGAUCUGUGGAGUUUUGUAAUUUGCCCAUUUGACAUCUUUAGCUUUAUUUUGUAAUACUCAAAACAUGAGAGGUUGAUGGUCACCUAAACCCGGCCCGUUGCCAUCCCUACAUGCCACAGCUCAUUACCCGUAGCAGUGUAAGAUAUCCUUUCAUAGGAUACACCUUGUGGUUUGUGUUGAUAAGUAGAAAACUCACGAUUAGACUAAAUGACGUGAAGUAUGCAUUUGUAAUGAUAUGGCGUGUUGUCGGCGACACGUGAAAUGUCAUGCCAUGUUUCCAACAUCACUAAAACAUGUAAAAUUUACUAAAUCUGGAUAACUUUUUUUCUUUCAAGAUAUAAGAGUUAAAAUUGUAUUUCAAGAGAUGAAAUUAUACGCAGAGCAUUGUUGUUGUACCCGACCCAAUUUAUGAUACUCUGAAAUUUACCUGUCACCCGUGUUGACUCCAUGGUCACUUACCGACCUUGUGUUAUUGCUGCUUCUAUUGUUGGUAGGGUUGUUCACCUGAAUUUGAAUGGUACUACUGAAUGUAUAAAAGUUGUAGUUUCAAAUUUCAUUAGAUUUGUUGUUUUCUAUUUCAAAAAUCAUUAUUGUAAAUCUAUACUUCUUAAAAAUUGGCAGAAUGGUGGAUUGCAAAAGGGAAUUAUAUGUAGAAAAGAAGACCAUAAUGAAUGUUAGUGCGCAUAAAAGUUCAUACAUAAUACUGCACGUUUUAAGUUAUUAUGACCUUAUAUAAUUUCUUAUUAUACUAGAUCGUUGUCACAUAAUUAUUAAGUUGUCACUUUUACUAAUAUAAUAUACUUUGUAUGCAUAUCUCCUUAUCAAGGAGAAAAAUGGCAAAUUGUUCAAUCAAAUUAGUGUGCAAAAGAAGGUAAUCAAGGAUAAAAUUGUGGAGGGUAAAGAUGAGAGUAGUUUCGUUGAAAUUUAAAGAUUGCAGAUUUGCAGGGCUUAUGAGGAGCUAAAAGCUAGGGGGAUGUGUAAAUUUGGCUACUUCGACAUAUAUGUAGAUCUACUUUUUGUAUGUUAAAGCUUUUGUGCAUUAGAUUAUUUUGCAUUGUGUUAUAUAAUGUAGCUUUUUAUUUGAAGUGUAGUAUUAGUUUUAUUGAUAUUAAUGAUGUAGUAUGAAUUGCUAGAGGCUUCUAUACUUGAGGUAUUGGUUUUAAAUGAUGGGUCUAUCCUAUCAUAUUGAUUAAA
This is a long non-coding RNA of Erigeron canadensis, 2147 nucleotides long. RefSeq lists it as uncharacterized. The transcript has 2 exons. NCBI's taxonomy places the organism in Eukaryota, Viridiplantae, Streptophyta, Magnoliopsida, Asterales, Asteraceae. The record is from RefSeq and is a predicted model, not a curated record.